GCAGUCGACGCGAACGUUUUCUUCGGAAAACUAGUAGAGUGGCGCACGGGUGAGUAACGCGUAAGUAACCUACCCUCGCAUUCGGGAUAACCCACCGAAAGGUGUGCUAAUACCGGAUACGUCUGAUUUAAUAUCUUUUUAUCAGAGAAAGGUGGCCUCUUCAUGAAAGCUACUGUGCGGGGAGGGGCUUGCGUACCAUUAGCUUGUUGGUAGGGUAACGGCCUACCAAGGCAACGAUGGUUAGCGGGUCUGAGAGGAUGAUCCGCCACACUGGAACUGGAACACGGACCAGACUCCUACGGGAGGCAGCAGUGAGGAAUAUUGCGCAAUGGGGGCAACCCUGACGCAGCGACGCCGCGUGGAUGAUGAAGGCCUUCGGGUUGUAAAAUCCUGUCAGAUGGGAAGAAGUGCACCGUAGUUAAUACCUGCGGUGUUUGACGGUACCAUCAAAGGAAGCACCGGCUAACUCCGUGCCAGCAGCCGCGGUAAUACGGAGGGUGCAAGCGUUGUUCGGAAUUACUGGGCGUAAAGCGCGCGUAGGCGGCUGCAUAAGUCACCUGUGAAAGCCCACGGCUCAACCGUGGACGUGCAGGUGAAACUGUGCAGCUUGAGUACUGGAGGGG
RNAcentral lists this ribosomal RNA (623 nucleotides) under uncultured delta proteobacterium. RNAcentral's name for it is "bacterial SSU rRNA". It matches the Rfam family "Bacterial small subunit ribosomal RNA", at positions 57 to 657 of the family's 1533-position model. The record is from RNAcentral. Lineage: Bacteria; Deltaproteobacteria.